Molecule: ribosomal RNA, 644 nt
Filed under: uncultured earthworm cast bacterium
Lineage: Bacteria
Description: bacterial SSU rRNA
Rfam family: Bacterial small subunit ribosomal RNA
Source: RNAcentral
UGCAAGUCGAGCGAGGACUUCGGUCCUAGCGGCGGACGGGUUAGUAACGCGUGGGAACGUGCCCCUUUCUUCGGAAUAGCCUCGGGAAACUGGGAGUAAUGCCGGAUACGCCGGAUCAUCGCGAGAUGGUUCGGGAAAGAUUUAUCGGAGAGGGAUCGGCCCGCGUUGGAUUAGGUAGUUGGUGGGGUAAUGGCCUACCAAGCCGACGAUCCAUAGCUGGUUUGAGAGGAUGAUCAGCAACACUGGGACUGAGACACGGCCCAGACUCCUACGGGAGGCAGCAGUGGGGAAUCUUGGACAAUGGGGGCAACCCUGAUCCAGCCAUGCCGCGUGAGCGAUGAAGGCCUUAGGGUUGUAAAGCUCUUUCAGCGGGGAAGAUAAUGACGGUACCCGCAGAAGAAGCCCCGGCUAACUCCGUGCCAGCAGCCGCGGUAAUACGGAGGGGGCUAGCGUUGUUCGGAAUUACUGGGCGUAAAGCGCACGUAGGCGGAUCAGUCAGUUAGGGGUGAAAGCCCAGGGCUCAACCCUGGAACUGCCUUUAAUACUGCUGGUCUGGAGGUCGAGAGAGGUGAGUGGAAUUCCGAGUGUAGAGGUGAAAUUCGUAGAUAUUCGGAGGAACACCAGUGGCGAAGGCGGCUCACUGG